RNAcentral lists this ribosomal RNA (1427 nucleotides) under uncultured organism. RNAcentral describes it as "16S ribosomal RNA". It matches the Rfam family "Bacterial small subunit ribosomal RNA". The record is from RNAcentral.
UGCUUAACACAUGCAAGUCGAACGGAAAGGCCCUGCUUUUGUGGGGUGCUCGAGUGGCGAACGGGUGAGUAACACGUGAGUAACCUGCCCUUGACUUUGGGAUAACUUCAGGAAACUGGGGCUAAUACCGGAUAGGAGCUCCUGCUGCAUGGUGGGGGUUGGAAAGUUUCGGCGGUUGGGGAUGGACUCGCGGCUUAUCAGCUUGUUGGUGGGGUAGUGGCUUACCAAGGCUUUGACGGGUAGCCGGCCUGAGAGGGUGACCGGCCACAUUGGGACUGAGAUACGGCCCAGACUCCUACGGGAGGCAGCAGUGGGGAAUAUUGCACAAUGGGCGGAAGCCUGAUGCAGCAACGCCGCGUGCGGGAUGACGGCCUUCGGGUUGUAAACCGCUUUCGCCUGUGACGAAGCGUGAGUGACGGUAAUGGGUAAAGAAGCACCGGCUAACUACGUGCCAGCAGCCGCGGUGAUACGUAGGGUGCGAGCGUUGUCCGGAUUUAUUGGGCGUAAAGGGCUCGUAGGUGGUUGAUCGCGUCGGAAGUGUAAUCUUGGGGCUUAACCCUGAGCGUGCUUUCGAUACGGGUUGACUUGAGGAAGGUAGGGGAGAAUGGAAUUCCUGGUGGAGCGGUGGAAUGCGCAGAUAUCAGGAGGAACACCAGUGGCGAAGGCGGUUCUCUGGGCCUUUCCUGACGCUGAGGAGCGAAAGCGUGGGGAGCGAACAGGCUUAGAUACCCUGGUAGUCCACGCUGUAAACGGUGGGUACUAGGUGUGGGGUCCAUUCCACGGGUUCCGUGCCGUAGCUAACGCUUUAAGUACCCCGCCUGGGGAGUACGGCCGCAAGGCUAAAACUCAAAGGAAUUGACGGGGCCCCGCACAAGCGGCGGAGCAUGCGGAUUAAUUCGAUGCAACGCGUAGAACCUUACCUGGGUUUGACAUGGAUCGGGAGUGCUCAGAGAUGGGUGUGCCUCUUUUGGGGUCGGUUCACAGGUGGUGCAUGGCUGUCGUCAACUCGUGUCGUGAGAUGUUGGGUUAAGUCCCGCAACGAGCGCAACCCUUGUUCACUGUUGCCAGCACGUUAUGGUGGGGACUCAGUGGAGACCGCCGGGGUCAACUCGGAGGAAGGUGGGGAUGACGUCAAGUCAUCAUGCCCCUUAUGUCCAGGGCUUCACGCAUGCUACAAUGGCUGGUACAGAGAGUGGCGAGCCUGUGAGGGUGAGCGAAUCUCGGAAAGCCGGUCUCAGUUCGGAUUGGGGUCUGCAACUCGACCUCAUGAAGUCGGAGUCGCUAGUAAUCGCAGAUCAGCAACGCUGCGGUGAAUACGUUCCCGGGGCUUGUACACACCGCCCGUCAAGUCAUGAAAGUUGGUAACACCCGAAGCCGGUGGCCUAACCGUUGAGGGGGAGCCGUCGAAGGUGGGACUGGUGAUUAGG